UACGUAGGGGGCAAGCGUUAUCCGGAUUUACUGGGUCUAAAGGGCGCGUAGGCGGGAUGGCAAGUCAGAUGUGAAAUCCAGGGGCUCAACCCCUGAACUGCAUUUGAAACUGUCGUUCUUGAGUACUGGAGAGGUUGACGGAAUUCCUAGUGUAGCGGUGAAAUGCGUAGAUAUUAGGAGGAACACCAGUGGCGAAGGCGGCUUACUGGACUGUAACUGACGUUGAGGCUCGAAAGCGUGGGGAGCAAACAGG
This 253-nucleotide ribosomal RNA is filed under the name uncultured bacterium. RNAcentral describes it as "partial 16S ribosomal RNA". It matches the Rfam family "Bacterial small subunit ribosomal RNA", at positions 524 to 776 of the family's 1533-position model. The record is from RNAcentral.